Molecule: ribosomal RNA, 223 nt
Filed under: uncultured bacterium
Lineage: Bacteria
Description: partial 16S ribosomal RNA
Rfam family: Bacterial small subunit ribosomal RNA
Source: RNAcentral
ACGCUCGACACCUACGGUAGGCAGCAGUAGGGAAUCUUCCACAAUGGGCGCAAGCCUGAUGGAGCAACACCGCGUGAGUGAAGAAGGGUUUCGGCUCGUAAAGCUCUGUUGUUGGAGAAGAACGUGCGUGAGAGUAACUGUUCACGCAGUGACGGUAUCCAACCAGAAAGUCACGGCUAACUACGUGCCAGCAGCCGCGGUAAUCUGAGCGGGCUGGCAAGGC